AUCCAACUGAUGAGUCCCAAAUAGAAGAAAAUGGGCGUCCUGGAU
Molecule: non-coding RNA, 45 nt
Filed under: Schistosoma margrebowiei
Lineage: Eukaryota; Metazoa; Platyhelminthes; Trematoda; Strigeidida; Schistosomatidae
Source: RNAcentral